Molecule: transfer RNA, 74 nt
Filed under: Labedaea rhizosphaerae
Lineage: Bacteria; Bacillati; Actinomycetota; Actinomycetes; Pseudonocardiales; Pseudonocardiaceae
Also listed under: 1 other name
Description: Labedella sp. RS-49 tRNA
Rfam family: tRNA
About the family: Transfer RNA (tRNA) molecules are approximately 80 nucleotides in length.
Source: Rfam by way of RNAcentral
GCCCCCGUAGCCCAACAGGCAGAGGCGAGCCCCUUAAAAGGGUUUGAGUGCCGGUUCGAAUCCGGUCGGGGGCA